AGCAGGCGGCGCGGGAGGCCGUGGAGCUGUUCAACACGCACAGCCCCUACCGGGCCCGCUUCCGCCUCACGCGCGUCCUCAAGGCGCAGAGGAAGCUGGAUAAAGAUGUCUUCUAUUACCUGUUGCUCGAGUUGGAGAGCACAGUCUGUCCGAACAUCGUUAAUGGGGAAGACACGGACCUCCCAGACCCCAACACCUGUCCCCUGGCUCCAGGAGCAGAGCAGCAGAAGCUGCACUGCGAUUUUAAGAUGCACUUGAGGAACACGUCAGAAAUUACAUGGGAAGACUGUAUCGCCGCGUAGUCGGCCCAUGAGGGGGCUGGGUGGGG
Long non-coding RNA from Choloepus didactylus (southern two-toed sloth), 328 nucleotides. RefSeq lists it as uncharacterized. The transcript is spliced from 3 exons. Lineage: Eukaryota; Metazoa; Chordata; Mammalia; Pilosa; Megalonychidae. The record is from RefSeq and is a predicted model, not a curated record.